GACGAACGCUGGCGGCGUGCUUAACACAUGCAAGUCGAACGGAAAGGCCCUGCUUGCAGGGUCCUCGAGUGGCGAACGGGUGAGUAACACGUGGGUGAUCUGCCCUGCACUUCGGGAUAAGCCUGGGAAACUGGGUCUAAUACCGGAUAGGAGCCAUUUUUAGUGUGAUGGUUGGAAAGUUUUUUCGGUGUAGGAUGAGCUCGCGGCCUAUCAGCUUGUUGGUGGGGUAAUGGCCUACCAAGGCGGCGACGGGUAGCCGGCCUGAGAGGGUGGACGGCCACAUUGGGACUGAGAUACGGCCCAGACUCCUACGGGAGGCAGCAGUGGGGAAGAUUGCACAAUGGGCGCAAGCCUGAUGCAGCGACGCCGCGUGGGGGAUGACGGCCUUCGGGUUGUAAACGCCUUUCGCUAGGGACGAAGCUUUUUGUGACGGUACCUAGAUAAGAAGCACCGGCUAACUACGUG
Molecule: ribosomal RNA, 465 nt
Filed under: uncultured bacterium
Lineage: Bacteria
Description: partial 16S ribosomal RNA
Rfam family: Bacterial small subunit ribosomal RNA
Source: RNAcentral